AGAUACAUAAGCUAUAUAAGCUAAAGAGCUCAUAACUCUUUGAUAGGAUAAUACCUUGUCUCUA
RNAcentral lists this transfer RNA (64 nucleotides) under Calanus sinicus. RNAcentral's name for it is "tRNA-Met". The record is from RNAcentral. Lineage: Eukaryota; Metazoa; Arthropoda; Copepoda; Calanoida; Calanidae.